This 206-nucleotide ribosomal RNA is filed under the name uncultured bacterium. RNAcentral's name for it is "partial 16S ribosomal RNA". It matches the Rfam family "Bacterial small subunit ribosomal RNA", at positions 568 to 774 of the family's 1533-position model. The record is from RNAcentral.
AGUGUAGGCGGUUUGGUAAGUCGGAUGUGAAAGCCCCGGGCUCAACCCGGGAAGUGCACUCGAUACUGCCAAGCUAGAGUAUCGGAGAGGUUGGUGGAAUUCUCGGUGUAGAGGUGAAAUUCGUAGAUAUCGAGAGGAACACCGGUGGCGAAGGCGGCCAACUGGACGAAUACUGACGCUGAGACUCGAAAGCGUGGGAGCAAACA